UACGGAAGGCAGCAGUGGGGAAUAUUGCACAAUGGGCGCAAGCCUGAUGCAGCCAUGCCGCGUGUAUGAAGAAGGCCUUCGGGUUGUAAAGUACUUUCAGUCGUGAGGAAGGUGUUAAGGUUAAUAACCUUAGCAAUUGACGUUAGCGACAGAAGAAGCACCGGCUAACUCCGUGCCAGCAGCCGCGGUAAUACGGAGGGUGCGAGCGUUAAUCGGAAUUACUGGGCGUAAAGGGCACGCAGGCGGUUAAUUAAGUUGGAUGUGAAAUCCCCGGGCUUAACCUGGGAAUGGCAUUCAAGACUGGUUAGCUAGAGUCUUGUAGAGGGGGUAGAAAUUCCAUGUGUAGCGGUGAAAUGCGUAGAGAUGUGGAGGAAAUACCGGUGGCGAAAGGCGGCCCCUGGACAAAGACUGACGCUCAUGUGCGAAAGCGUGGGGAGCAAAACAGGGAUUAGAU
This 454-nucleotide ribosomal RNA is filed under the name uncultured bacterium. Its description in RNAcentral is "bacterial SSU rRNA". It matches the Rfam family "Bacterial small subunit ribosomal RNA", at positions 340 to 783 of the family's 1533-position model. The record is from RNAcentral.